This 2905-nucleotide ribosomal RNA is filed under the name Escherichia coli. RNAcentral's name for it is "23S ribosomal RNA". It matches the Rfam family "Bacterial large subunit ribosomal RNA". RNAcentral also lists the same sequence under 1 other name. The record is from RNAcentral. Lineage: Bacteria; Pseudomonadati; Pseudomonadota; Gammaproteobacteria; Enterobacterales; Enterobacteriaceae.
GGUUAAGCGACUAAGCGUACACGGUGGAUGCCCUGGCAGUCAGAGGCGAUGAAGGACGUGCUAAUCUGCGAUAAGCGUCGGUAAGGUGAUAUGAACCGUUAUAACCGGCGAUUUCCGAAUGGGGAAACCCAGUGUGUUUCGACACACUAUCAUUAACUGAAUCCAUAGGUUAAUGAGGCGAACCGGGGGAACUGAAACAUCUAAGUACCCCGAGGAAAAGAAAUCAACCGAGAUUCCCCCAGUAGCGGCGAGCGAACGGGGAGCAGCCCAGAGCCUGAAUCAGUGUGUGUGUUAGUGGAAGCGUCUGGAAAGGCGCGCGAUACAGGGUGACAGCCCCGUACACAAAAAUGCACAUGCUGUGAGCUCGAUGAGUAGGGCGGGACACGUGGUAUCCUGUCUGAAUAUGGGGGGACCAUCCUCCAAGGCUAAAUACUCCUGACUGACCGAUAGUGAACCAGUACCGUGAGGGAAAGGCGAAAAGAACCCCGGCGAGGGGAGUGAAAAAGAACCUGAAACCGUGUACGUACAAGCAGUGGGAGCACGCUUAGGCGUGUGACUGCGUACCUUUUGUAUAAUGGGUCAGCGACUUAUAUUCUGUAGCAAGGUUAACCGAAUAGGGGAGCCGAAGGGAAACCGAGUCUUAACUGGGCGUUAAGUUGCAGGGUAUAGACCCGAAACCCGGUGAUCUAGCCAUGGGCAGGUUGAAGGUUGGGUAACACUAACUGGAGGACCGAACCGACUAAUGUUGAAAAAUUAGCGGAUGACUUGUGGCUGGGGGUGAAAGGCCAAUCAAACCGGGAGAUAGCUGGUUCUCCCCGAAAGCUAUUUAGGUAGCGCCUCGUGAAUUCAUCUCCGGGGGUAGAGCACUGUUUCGGCAAGGGGGUCAUCCCGACUUACCAACCCGAUGCAAACUGCGAAUACCGGAGAAUGUUAUCACGGGAGACACACGGCGGGUGCUAACGUCCGUCGUGAAGAGGGAAACAACCCAGACCGCCAGCUAAGGUCCCAAAGUCAUGGUUAAGUGGGAAACGAUGUGGGAAGGCCCAGACAGCCAGGAUGUUGGCUUAGAAGCAGCCAUCAUUUAAAGAAAGCGUAAUAGCUCACUGGUCGAGUCGGCCUGCGCGGAAGAUGUAACGGGGCUAAACCAUGCACCGAAGCUGCGGCAGCGACACUAUGUGUUGUUGGGUAGGGGAGCGUUCUGUAAGCCUGUGAAGGUGUGCUGUGAGGCAUGCUGGAGGUAUCAGAAGUGCGAAUGCUGACAUAAGUAACGAUAAAGCGGGUGAAAAGCCCGCUCGCCGGAAGACCAAGGGUUCCUGUCCAACGUUAAUCGGGGCAGGGUGAGUCGACCCCUAAGGCGAGGCCGAAAGGCGUAGUCGAUGGGAAACAGGUUAAUAUUCCUGUACUUGGUGUUACUGCGAAGGGGGGACGGAGAAGGCUAUGUUGGCCGGGCGACGGUUGUCCCGGUUUAAGCGUGUAGGCUGGUUUUCCAGGCAAAUCCGGAAAAUCAAGGCUGAGGCGUGAUGACGAGGCACUACGGUGCUGAAGCAACAAAUGCCCUGCUUCCAGGAAAAGCCUCUAAGCAUCAGGUAACAUCAAAUCGUACCCCAAACCGACACAGGUGGUCAGGUAGAGAAUACCAAGGCGCUUGAGAGAACUCGGGUGAAGGAACUAGGCAAAAUGGUGCCGUAACUUCGGGAGAAGGCACGCUGAUAUGUAGGUGAAGUCCCUCGCGGAUGGAGCUGAAAUCAGUCGAAGAUACCAGCUGGCUGCAACUGUUUAUUAAAAACACAGCACUGUGCAAACACGAAAGUGGACGUAUACGGUGUGACGCCUGCCCGGUGCCGGAAGGUUAAUUGAUGGGGUUAGCCGCAAGGCGAAGCUCUUGAUCGAAGCCCCGGUAAACGGCGGCCGUAACUAUAACGGUCCUAAGGUAGCGAAAUUCCUUGUCGGGUAAGUUCCGACCUGCACGAAUGGCGUAAUGAUGGCCAGGCUGUCUCCACCCGAGACUCAGUGAAAUUGAACUCGCUGUGAAGAUGCAGUGUACCCGCGGCAAGACGGAAAGACCCCGUGAACCUUUACUAUAGCUUGACACUGAACAUUGAGCCUUGAUGUGUAGGAUAGGUGGGAGGCUUUGAAGUGUGGACGCCAGUCUGCAUGGAGCCGACCUUGAAAUACCACCCUUUAAUGUUUGAUGUUCUAACGUUGACCCGUAAUCCGGGUUGCGGACAGUGUCUGGUGGGUAGUUUGACUGGGGCGGUCUCCUCCUAAAGAGUAACGGAGGAGCACGAAGGUUGGCUAAUCCUGGUCGGACAUCAGGAGGUUAGUGCAAUGGCAUAAGCCAGCUUGACUGCGAGCGUGACGGCGCGAGCAGGUGCGAAAGCAGGUCAUAGUGAUCCGGUGGUUCUGAAUGGAAGGGCCAUCGCUCAACGGAUAAAAGGUACUCCGGGGAUAACAGGCUGAUACCGCCCAAGAGUUCAUAUCGACGGCGGUGUUUGGCACCUCGAUGUCGGCUCAUCACAUCCUGGGGCUGAAGUAGGUCCCAAGGGUAUGGCUGUUCGCCAUUUAAAGUGGUACGCGAGCUGGGUUUAGAACGUCGUGAGACAGUUCGGUCCCUAUCUGCCGUGGGCGCUGGAGAACUGAGGGGGGCUGCUCCUAGUACGAGAGGACCGGAGUGGACGCAUCACUGGUGUUCGGGUUGUCAUGCCAAUGGCACUGCCCGGUAGCUAAAUGCGGAAGAGAUAAGUGCUGAAAGCAUCUAAGCACGAAACUUGCCCCGAGAUGAGUUCUCCCUGACCCUUUAAGGGUCCUGAAGGAACGUUGAAGACGACGACGUUGAUAGGCCGGGUGUGUAAGCGCAGCGAUGCGUUGAGCUAACCGGUACUAAUGAACCGUGAGGCUUAACCUU